RNAcentral lists this long non-coding RNA (210 nucleotides) under Mytilus galloprovincialis (Mediterranean mussel). Lineage: Eukaryota; Metazoa; Mollusca; Bivalvia; Mytilida; Mytilidae. The record is from RNAcentral.
GUCUGCUUUCUCUGGAGCUCAGCCUCAAUGGCUCUAUUACGUCAGGAAACUUACAUGUAUACUAAUAAUGAUUGUUUCAAGUACAACGAUGUAUGGACGAACUAUUCUAAAUUCGUCAAUAUCAGUUAUGCAGGACUAAAAUAUAACUUUUUUUACAACUACUGUAUUACUUAUUUGGAUUAAUGACGGCUAUCAUGUUCAACAUUGCAC